This 469-nucleotide small RNA is filed under the name Pongo abelii (Sumatran orangutan). Its description in RNAcentral is "processed transcript". The record is from RNAcentral. Lineage: Eukaryota; Metazoa; Chordata; Mammalia; Primates; Hominidae.
GGCGGCCAGCCCGGGUCUACCUCGCUCCGUGCAGGGCCGGGAGAGGGAUCCGCCAUAUUGGAGCUGGGGCCGAAGGUGCCUUGGAGCCGCGGCGCGAGGCGGGUGGAGGUGGCGGCCCUGGCCUGGAUCGGGGAGGAGUCGGCUCUGCCCUGGCUCGCAAGGCUGGGGAGCUAAUGAGCCUCUCCGGCUAGUCUCCUCCCCGUCCACUCCCUCCACUUUCUGCCGCCGGGAGCCGGCUGUGGCAGUGGCAGUGGCAGUGGCAGCGGCAGGAUGUUCUCCAAGAAGCCGCACGGGGACGUGAAGAAGUCCACCCAGAAGGUGCUGGACACCAAGAAGGACGCACUGACUCGCCUCAAGCACCUGCGCAUCGUCAUCGAGUUAAUGGUAGAACUGGCUGAAGAAGAUGCAUUCAUCCAGAUGCCUGAAUCCUAGUUCAGAGUUUAUCUCGAGCUGUCUUCCUGAUGCGUAU